RNAcentral lists this ribosomal RNA (443 nucleotides) under uncultured bacterium. RNAcentral's name for it is "partial 16S ribosomal RNA". It matches the Rfam family "Bacterial small subunit ribosomal RNA", at positions 338 to 795 of the family's 1533-position model. The record is from RNAcentral.
CCUACGGGAGGCAGCAGUGGGGAAUAUUGGGCAAUGGGCGCAAGCCUGACCCAGCAACGCCGCGUGAAGGAAGAAGGCUUUCGGGUUGUAAACUUCUAUUCUCAGGGACGAAGAACGUGACGGUCGCGGAGGAAUAAGCCAGGGCUACCUACGUGCCAGCAGCCGCGGUAAGACGUAUGUGGCAAGCGGUAUCCGGAUUUAUUGGGUGUAAAGGGCGGGUAGGCGGGAGCGCAAGUCAGAUGUGAACACGCAGGGCUCCACCCUGAGCCUGCAUUUGAAACUGUGUUUCUUGAGUGCUGGAGAGUCAAUCGGAAUUCCGUGUGUAGCGGUGAAAUGCGUAGAUAUACGGAGGAACACCAGUGGCGAAGGCGGAUUGCUGGACAGUAACUGACGCUGCGGCGCGAAAGCGUGGGGAGCAAACAGGAUUAGAUACCCCUGUAGUC